UGGGGAAUAUUGGACAAUGGGCGAAAGCCUGAUCCAGCCACGCCGCGUGAGUGAUGAAGGCCUUCGGGUCGUAAAGCUCUGUGGGGAGGGACGAAUUGCCCCGUGAAGAACGGGGAGUGACGGUACCUCCUUAGCAAGCACCGGCUAACUUCGUGCCAGCAGCCGCGGUAAUACGAAGGGUGCAAACGUUGCUCGGAAUCAUUGGGCGUAAAGCGCACGUAGGCGGCCUUGCAAGUCGGAUGUGAAAUCCCUCGGCUCAACCGAGGACGUGCAUCCGAAACUGCUCGGCUCGAGUAUGGAAGAGGGUCGCGGAAUUCCCGGUGUAGAGGUGAAAUUCGUAGAUAUCGGGAGGAACACCAGUGGCGAAGGCGGCGACCUGGGCCAAUACUGACGCUGAGGUGCGAAAGCGUGGGGAGCAAACAGGAUUAGAUACCCCCGUAGUCC
This 444-nucleotide ribosomal RNA is filed under the name uncultured bacterium. RNAcentral describes it as "bacterial SSU rRNA". It matches the Rfam family "Bacterial small subunit ribosomal RNA", at positions 355 to 796 of the family's 1533-position model. The record is from RNAcentral.